CAGCAGCCGCGGGAAUACGUAGGUGGCAAGCGUUGUCCGGAUUUAUUGGGCGUAAAGCGAGCGCAGGCGGUUCCUUAAGUCUGAUGUGAAAGCCCACGGCUCAACCGUGGAAGGUCAUUGGAAACUGGGGAACUUGAGUGCAGAAGAGGAGAGUGGAAUUCCAUGUGUAGCGGUGAAAUGCGUAGAUAUAUGGAGGAACACCAGUGGCGAAGGCGACUCUCUGGUCUGUAACUGACGCUGAGGCUCGAAAGCGUGGGGAGCAAACAGGAUUAGAUACCCCUGUAGUCCCUGUCUCUUAUAC
This 301-nucleotide ribosomal RNA is filed under the name uncultured bacterium. Its description in RNAcentral is "partial 16S ribosomal RNA". It matches the Rfam family "Bacterial small subunit ribosomal RNA", at positions 509 to 807 of the family's 1533-position model. The record is from RNAcentral.